GCAGUGGGGAAUCUUGCGCAAUGGGCGAAAGCCUGACGCAGCGACGCCGCGUGAGGGAAGAAGGCCUUCGGGUUGUAAACCUCUUUCAGGAGGGACGAAGGUCGGGUUAAUAGCGGCCCGAGUGACGGUACCUCCAGAAGAAGCCCCGGCUAACUACGUGCCAGCAGCCGCGGUAAUACGUAGGGGGCAAGCGUUGUCCGGAAUUAUUGGGCGUAAAGAGCGUGUAGGCGGUCCGGUCAGUCGGUUGUGAAAGUCAGGGGCUCAACCCUUGAAUGCCGGCCGAUACUGCCGGGCUAGAGUCCGGAAGAGGAAAAUGGAAUUCCCGGUGUAGCGGUGAAAUGCGCAGAUAUCAGGAAGAACACCCGUGGCGAAGGCGGUUUUCUGGGACGGUACUGACGCUGAGACGCGAAAGCGUGGGGAGCGAACAGGAUUAGAUACCCCUGUAG
This 446-nucleotide ribosomal RNA is filed under the name Stenotrophomonas sp. SAM-B. RNAcentral's name for it is "bacterial SSU rRNA". It matches the Rfam family "Bacterial small subunit ribosomal RNA", at positions 351 to 793 of the family's 1533-position model. Lineage: Bacteria; Pseudomonadati; Pseudomonadota; Gammaproteobacteria; Lysobacterales; Lysobacteraceae. The record is from RNAcentral.